UUCAGGAAACACUCUCAUUAUUUCAUACUCAAUCCCUCUAGGACGUUGAGAGCUACUACCCAAUCCUGAACCCUGUGCUCAAUAGAGAAGUAAAGAAGACUGGAGGACGAGUUCUUAUAACUCUUGGAGAUCAGGAGAUUGACUUGUCACCUUCUUUCACCAUUUUCCUUUCAAUGAGGGAUCCUUCUGUUGAAUUCCCUCCUGAUCUUUGCUCUAAAGUCACUUUUGUUAAUUUCACCGUCACAAGAAGCAGUCUACAGAGCCAGUGCCUUAAUAGAGUUCUUAAAUCCAAGAGUCCAGACGUUGAUGAGAAGAGGUCCAACCUACUUAAACUUCAAGUGAGUUCCUCCUUCGUUUGCAUCACCUUGAGAAGAGUCUUCUCACUGCAUUGAACGAGGUCAAGGGUCGUAUCCUAGACAACAACAGAAUCAUUACUGAGCUUGAGACUCUUAAACGAG
Molecule: long non-coding RNA, 458 nt
Organism: Amphimedon queenslandica
Lineage: Eukaryota; Metazoa; Porifera; Demospongiae; Haplosclerida; Niphatidae
Exons: 4
Source: RefSeq, a predicted model, not a curated record